RNAcentral lists this ribosomal RNA (497 nucleotides) under uncultured bacterium. RNAcentral describes it as "partial 16S ribosomal RNA". It matches the Rfam family "Bacterial small subunit ribosomal RNA", at positions 28 to 507 of the family's 1533-position model. The record is from RNAcentral.
GAUGAACGCUGGCGGCGUGCCUAAUACAUGCAAGUCGAGCGAACGGAUGAGGAGCUUGCUCCUCUGACGUUAGCGGCGGACGGGUGAGUAACACGUGGAUAACCUACCUAUAAGACUGGGAUAACUUCGGGAAACCGGAGCUAAUACCGGAUAAUAUAUUGAACCGCAUGGUUCAAUAGUGAAAGACGGUUUUGCUGUCACUUAUAGAUGGAUCCGCGCCGCAUUAGCUAGUUGGUAAGGUAACGGCUUACCAAGGCAACGAUGCGUAGCUGACCUGAGAGGGUGAUCGGCCACACUGGAACUGAGACACGGUCCAGACUCCUACGGGAGGCAGCAGUAGGGAAUCUUCCGCAAUGGGCGAAAGCCUGACGGAGCAACGCCGCGUGAGUGAUGAAGGUCUUCGGAUCGUAAAACUCUGUUAUUAGGGAAGAACAAAUGUGUAAGUAACUAUGCACGUCUUGACGGUACCUAAUCAGAAAGCCACGGCUAACUACGUG